UACAGAGGUUUCAAGCGUUGUUCGGAUUUAUUGGGCGUAAAGGGUGCGUAGGCGGCUCUUUAAGUCGGGUGUGAAAUCUCGGAGCUUAACUCCGAAACUGCAUUCGAUACUGCCGUGCUUGAGGACUGGAGAGGAGACUGGAAUUUACGGUGUAGCGGUGAAAUGCGUAGAUAUCGUAAGGAAGACCAGUGGCGAAGGCGGGUCUCUGGACAGUUCCUGACGCUGAGGCACGAAGGCCAGGGGAGCAAACGGG
RNAcentral lists this ribosomal RNA (253 nucleotides) under uncultured bacterium. Its description in RNAcentral is "partial 16S ribosomal RNA". It matches the Rfam family "Bacterial small subunit ribosomal RNA", at positions 524 to 776 of the family's 1533-position model. The record is from RNAcentral.